RNAcentral lists this ribosomal RNA (253 nucleotides) under uncultured bacterium. RNAcentral's name for it is "partial 16S ribosomal RNA". It matches the Rfam family "Bacterial small subunit ribosomal RNA", at positions 524 to 776 of the family's 1533-position model. The record is from RNAcentral.
UACGCAGGGGGCUAGCGUUGUUCGGAUUUACUGGGCGUAAAGCGCGCGCAGGCGGUCCUUCAAGUCAGGGGUGAAAGCCCAGAGCUCAACUCUGGAACUGCCUUUGAGACUGUAGGACUUGGGUAUGGGAGAGGUGAGUGGAAUUCCGAGUGUAGAGGUGAAAUUCGUAGAUAUUCGGAAGAACACCAGUGGCGAAGGCGGCUCACUGGCCCAUUACCGACGCUCAGGCGCGAUAGCGUGGGGAGCAAACAGG